Molecule: long non-coding RNA, 3606 nt
Filed under: Marmota monax (woodchuck)
Lineage: Eukaryota; Metazoa; Chordata; Mammalia; Rodentia; Sciuridae
Source: RNAcentral
GACCUCUUGCUAACAAACCUGUUUGACUCUCAAAGACAAAAAGGAGGCUGACCUUAUUUCGGGGCCAGCAGGGCUGCAGCGGGCUGAGGGUCCCUAGCAGAGGCUGGAGAGGGCUGUCCUCCUGAUGCUUUUUUUUGUCUUGUAUCAGAUCUUCCCACAGCUUCACCCAGCUGCCCCCAAGGGGAGNCACACUCACACACACAAACACACACUAACACACACACUCACACACUAACACACACUCGUACUUACACUAUCACACUCACACUCACACAUGCACUUAAACUCAUACACACUCUUACACACUCACACUCACACACUCAUAAUUACACUCUCGCACACUCACACUCAUACGCACACACACUCACUCACACACUUACACUCACACUCACACACUCACUAAAACACACAAUCAUACUUACACUCUCACACUCACACUCACUCACUUUCACACACACUCACUCUCACAUUCAUACACAUGGACUCCCACUUACAUUCUCACACGCACUUACAUUCACACAUUCACUGGAGCUUGAUUCUGUGCCAAGGAAACCUACAACCCUACACACACAGACACACACACACUUACACUCAUACACACUCAGACACACACUCACACGCUCACACACACUCACACUCUAACACACAUGCACUCACACACACACAUGCACAUACACCCAUACACACUCUCACACACUCAUAAACACUAACACAUACACACACUCUCACACACACAGCCAGGAACCCAAGGCCAUCAUGGCUACACACAUCAUCCCCUCUACAAGGCCACUUCCUGCCAUUAAAAUGCAGGAGGAAGGAAGUCCAGGAUCCAAGGGGAGAGGGGAGACAUCUGGACCCAGAAAGGUAAGUGCAACCUGCCUCUCUCCAUCUCCAUCUCCAUCUUCUUCUUCUUCUUCUUCUCCUUCUCUCGUAAGUGCCAAAGGAACAGGAACCCUCCGACUCCCAGGAUGAAAAACCCAGCCAGGAAGGCCCCUAUGGCACCUCUCGUGUGGCCAGCUGUGGGCGCUCAUUUCCAGAGCGUUAAGAAAACAAGAGAGUUAAGAGAGGAUACAGCAUAAGAGAAGCUGACACACCCAUUUCCAGGGGAGGUGGAGAAGGUGCAGGUGCAGGGGGGCCUGGUUCAGAAGCCGCAGAGGGAGGGCGUGGCAGGUCCACUCAUUCAAGCAGUGGCCCAGGUCCUUCGUGGAGCAGGGAAGACGGGGAUGAGCAAGGUGGGGUCUGUGAACAAGUCAUCACCAGGAAGAGACAGAAGCUCUCAAUCACCAGGUGAAGGAUCUCACUGCAGUAGAGGUUGACCCAUGUUCGAGGUCUACAGUGAAACCCCCAAGGACAUGCGCAGUCAUCUAUGUGUGGGGAGUGGCAGGAGUUUCACAGAUACUCAGUGUGGCAGGAGCGUCCUGCAGGGGAGGGACAGCACAGGAGGCAGGGCUAGGUGGGGAGGCCCGGGAGGCAGCCGUGAGGCCAGGAGGUUUGGUGGGCCAUGUUGAACUUCCUCUGAGAGUCCAGGGUGGAGGUGGGGGUCACAGGACCAGGGGUGGUGACUGCACUGACCAGUCAGGCUCCUCCAGCAGCCCCCAGAGGAAGACUGAGAGAGGACGGGGUGCACACGGGUCCCAGGCAUUCGGGUUCAGUGAGACACCUACUGGGCACAAACUGCCCAGAACUGAGCCUGACACCUGGGCUAAGAGGAGAGAAGGAUGUGUCCCCUGCCCUCAUGGUGUCCCACUCAGGGUGGACUCAGACCCAGAAAGGGAUCUUUCCACUCAGGGGGGAUGGCCAUGGGCAGCUCCUUAAAGAGGCUGCACCUUCAGAGCCAGCAGUGGCUUCACACGUUAGGGAAGGUCAGCAAGCAGCUGUGUCCCUGUGUGGAUGAGGCCACCAUCAGGGACACAGGACCCUCUAAGCCCUACAUCCUAUGGGGACUAAGUGGAGGUCGACCCCAGAGAUGACACAGACAAAGGCCACAAUCCGAUCUGUUUUUUCAAAGAUGACACUGGACACAGGGCAUGGGGAUGGGGCAAGACAGGUCCUGGAAGGCUGCCCCUGGCCCAGGGGGAAGGGCAUGGAGGUGAGGGAUAUUUAAAGACAGUUGUGAGCUGGAUGCGACCCCACACUUCUGGAUUGGAGUGACCAAGGGAAGGCAGUGCUGUUCAUAAACACAGCAGCAAAAAAGCCAAGGACUCUGGGGCUCCAGAGCCACCUGAGCCCUUCCCUGUGCCCCUCCCUCCCGCAGGUGCACUCACCUGGGCUACAGAGGUCAACGAGCUGUAAGGUGGCAUUUUUCUGGUCCACNCCCCAGAGAUGACACAGACAAAGGCCACAAUUCGAUCUGUUUUCCCAAAGAUGACUCUGGACACAGGGCAUGGUGACAGAAGGGACAGGUCCUGGAAGACUGCCCCUGGCCCAGGGGGAAAGGCCUGGAGUUGAGGGAUAUUUAAAGACAGUCAUGAGCUGGAUGCGACCCCACACUUCUGGAUUGGAGUGACCAAGGGAAGGCAGUGCUGUUCAUAAACACAGCAGCAAAAAAGCCAGGGACCUUCAGGCUCCAGAGCCACCUGAGCCCUUCCUGUACCCCUCCCUCCUGCAGGUGCACUCACCUGGGCUACAGAGGUCAACGAGCUGUAAGGUGGCAUUUUUCUGGUCCACUGGGUUGCUGAGGACACAGGUGAAGCUGACAUUGGGCUGGCUCGGUGGCAGGCUCAAGGCCAGGGUCCAAGGGUUGGGGGGUCCUGGUGCCCCUCUCUGCUCCAGCUCACUGGGGGGACCCUGGACCUCCCAGGUUACAUUCAGGACCUCUACAGCCUCUCGGUUCCCACACUCCAGAGUGACAUUGCACCAGCUGGGCGUGAUGGACGCUGACGUGGUCCAGAUCUGGGCAAGGGGCACAGGAUCUGAGGAAGGAGGGGACAAAAGGAGACAGCCUCACACAUGCCACACAUUGUCCUCCAGUGUCUCGCUGACCAGAGGCAGGAGCCCUAGGAGGAAGCUGGGAGCACGUUACAAAUAAAGCACAAUUUCCCCAGAGCUACAUGUUGACAAGUGACAGCAGCCACUUUAUUAAGCUCAUGUGAUCUCACUAGAUGAAAGAAGUCUAAACUUUUUUUACCAUGAGAAAAUGAUGGCUGAAUCCCAGUUUUUAAGGACCAUUAUUCCUAGAAGAUAGGGGUCUUCUGGAAGGGAAGGAAGAGUGGGACAGAAGAGCUUGUCUGGGGCCAGGGUCCUUUGUCCUGGGUCUUCAGCUGAGACAGUGCCUGGGACUGCACAGCCUGAUUGGGGCAGGACACCAGGCCAGCUCUGGGAGGACCCAGAAAGCUCAGGUCAAAACAGGAGUCAUUGUGGGAGAUACCGUGGCUGCAACAGAGAGCACAGCUCUGCAGGCAGUUAGAAUGUGACCCUAAAUGUGUGCUCCCAACUGGGGGAGAAGGGUUAGAUCCACAGGCCAGUGUGGAAAUCACACAGGACCUGCACCUGGAGUCCACUCCCUGCAGAGGGACUGCCCUAGGCAGAGAGGGACUGUGGGGACCCUAGAGUUGGCAAAACGGAUCUCCUGGGACAUGCAGCAGCAUCACUUCUCCUACCCUAUAA